CAGUAGCCGCGGUAAUACAGAGGGUGCGAGCGUUAAUCGGAUUUACUGGGCGUAAAGCGUGCGUAGGCGGCUUUUUAAGUCGGAUGUGAAAUCCCUGAGCUUAACUUAGGAAUUGCAUUCGAUACUGGGAAGCUAGAGUAUGGGGGAGGAUGGUAGAAUUCCAGGUGUAGCGGUGAAAUGCGUAGAGAUCUGGAGGAAUACCGAUGGCGAAGGCAGCCAUCUGGCCUAAUACUGACGCUGAGGUACGAAAGCAUGGGGAGCAAACAGGAUUAGAUACCCCUGUAGUCCCUGUCUCUUAUAA
This 301-nucleotide ribosomal RNA is filed under the name uncultured bacterium. Its description in RNAcentral is "partial 16S ribosomal RNA". It matches the Rfam family "Bacterial small subunit ribosomal RNA", at positions 509 to 809 of the family's 1533-position model. The record is from RNAcentral.